This 492-nucleotide ribosomal RNA is filed under the name uncultured bacterium. RNAcentral's name for it is "partial 16S ribosomal RNA". It matches the Rfam family "Bacterial small subunit ribosomal RNA", at positions 29 to 507 of the family's 1533-position model. The record is from RNAcentral.
AGUGAACGCUGGCGGUAGGCCUAACACAUGCAAGUCGAACGGCAGCACAGUAAGAGCUUGCUCUUACUGGUGGCGAGUGGCGGACGGGUGAGGAAUACAUCGGAAUCUACUUUUUCGUGGGGGAUAACGUAGGGAAACUUACGCUACUACCGCAUACUACCUACGGGUGAAAGCAGGGGAUCUUCGGACCUUGCGCGAUUGAAUGAGCCGAUGUCGGAUUAGCUAGUUGGCGUGGUAAAGGCCCACCAAGGCGACGAUCCGUAGCUGGUCUGAGAGGAUGAUCAGCCACACUGGAACUGAGACACGGUCCAGACUCCUACGGGAGGCAGCAGUAGGGAAUAUUGGACAAUGGGCGCAAGCCUGAUCCAGCCAUACCGCGUGAGUGAAGAAGGCCUUCGGGUUGUAAAGCUCUUUUGUUAGGGAAGAAAAGCAGCAGGUUAAUACCCCGCUGUUCUGACGGUACCCAAAGAAUAAGCACCGGCUAACUUCGUG